This is a non-coding RNA of Callorhinus ursinus (northern fur seal), 834 nucleotides long. NCBI's taxonomy places the organism in Eukaryota, Metazoa, Chordata, Mammalia, Carnivora, Otariidae. The record is from RefSeq and is a predicted model, not a curated record.
GCCAUCAUCUGAGGACUGUAUUUGUACUGGAAGCAGUUGUUCAGCAUCGCUGAGCAAACUUCUCUGCCCGCUCAGUUAACAUCCAAGGAAAAUGGCGCCACGUGAGCAACGGGGUUGAUAGAUGUGGGACCGUAGCUCCACACCCAGUUUGAGGAUAUAACGAAGAGCUGCCUGGUUCUCUCGUCACUCUACUCAUCCUGGUCUGGAAAGUAACCAAAGACAAAGGCAACAAGAACAGAGGGCCAGAUCCAAGAAAGGAGGAAACUCUGCUGGCAUGAAGAUGGACAGUGCCUGCUGAGGACUCCAUUGAGGAGAAGACCUGGAGGCUCAGGAGGCAGGGCCGUCCGGGAGCCUUCUCAGAGCCGGAGCCUGGGGAAGAAGGACUGCUCUGGUGCCACAGGUCCCCCAGUGCUGGAGCUCCCCUGCCUCCCUCCCUCCCCACCACCACGUCCGCUGUAAUUCUCACUCAUCUGGCCUUUCUCUGGCUGGUCCAGGCAGCCGGGUUUGAAUGUCUUCUCUCUGUGGGUCUUCUCGACUGACAUUAUAAAUGGCUCUUGAUUUCGGCAUUAACAGAGUAAAGAAACAAACACAGGGAGGAUUAAAAAAUUGAUUACAAACCCCAAAUUUUCCUUUCUGAAUUGGGCAUGUGUUGACUCUGGGAUAUUGAAAUUAUUGGGAGCUCACAGCAUCUCUGAUAUAUAAUGAUGCUAUACCAGAAGCUCAGUUCCAGAAGAUCCUUGAAAUAGAACAGCUCACCUGCCCCCAAAUACUAGGUAAAAUGCUCCCUCCUCUUCACCUAAUUCUGCUAAUAAAAAAGUAUUGCCUCUCAAAAAA